RNAcentral lists this ribosomal RNA (465 nucleotides) under Vreelandella stevensii. RNAcentral's name for it is "partial 16S ribosomal RNA". It matches the Rfam family "Bacterial small subunit ribosomal RNA", at positions 338 to 795 of the family's 1533-position model. The record is from RNAcentral. Lineage: Bacteria; Pseudomonadati; Pseudomonadota; Gammaproteobacteria; Oceanospirillales; Halomonadaceae.
CCUACGGGGGGCUGCAGUGGGGAAUAUUGGACAAUGGGGGGAACCCUGAUCCAGCCAUGCCGCGUGUGUGAAGAAGGCCCUCGGGUUGUAAAGCACUUUCAGUGAGGAAGAACGCCUGGUGGUUAAUACCCAUCAGGAAAGACAUCACUCACAGAAGAAGCACCGGCUAACUCCGUGCCAGCAGCCGCGGUAAUACGGAGGGUGCGAGCGUUAAUCGGAAUUACUGGGCGUAAAGCGCGCGUAGGUGGCUUGAUAAGCCGGUUGUGAAAGCCCCGGGCUCAACCUGGGAACGGCAUCCGGAACUGUCAAGCUAGAGUGCAGGAGAGGAAGGUAGAAUUCCCGGUGUAGCGGUGAAAUGCGUAGAGAUCGGGAGGAAUAACAGUGGCGAAGGCGGCCUUCUGGACUGACACUGACACUGGGGUGCGAAAGCGUGGGUAGCAAACAGGAUUAGAUACCCGAGUAGUC